RNAcentral lists this ribosomal RNA (398 nucleotides) under uncultured bacterium. Its description in RNAcentral is "bacterial SSU rRNA". It matches the Rfam family "Bacterial small subunit ribosomal RNA", at positions 361 to 776 of the family's 1533-position model. The record is from RNAcentral.
AUAUUGCACAAUGGGGGAAACCCUGAUGCAGCGACGCUACGUGAGUGAAGAAGUAUUUCGGUAUGUAAAGCUCUAUCAGCAGGGAAGAAAAUGAAGGUACCUGAUUAAGAAGCUCUGGUUAACUACGUGCCAGUAGCCGCGGUAAUACGUAGGGGGCAAGCGUUAUCCGGAUUUACUGGGUGUAAAGGGAGCGUAGACGGCAGCACAAGUCUGGAGUGAAAUGCCGGGGCUUAACCCCGGAACUGCUUUGGAAACUGUGCAGCUAGAGUGCAGGAGAGGUAAGUGGAAUUCCUAGUGUAGCGGUGAAAUGCGUAGAUAUUAGGAGGAACACCAGUGGCGAAGGCGGCUUACUGGACUGUAACUGACGUUGAGGCUCGAAAGCGUGGGGAGCAAACAGG